Molecule: ribosomal RNA, 649 nt
Filed under: Eiseniella tetraedra
Lineage: Eukaryota; Metazoa; Annelida; Clitellata; Crassiclitellata; Lumbricidae
Description: partial large subunit ribosomal RNA
Rfam family: Eukaryotic large subunit ribosomal RNA (bases 402-649)
Source: RNAcentral
GACCGUAUGGUCCGCCCGUCGGAUUCAGUCCGCCUGUGCGGCGUCGGCGCCGGCCGCGCAUCCCUCGUGGGAGCGCGCCGGCGUCCGGUCGUCGUGCGGCGGCCGUACUUUCGGCGGGCGGAGCGCCACGACCGGUUCGUCGGCGGCGAGAAACUCCCGGGCAAGGUGACCUUCGUCUCGGCGCAGGAGCAUACAGGCCCGGCGAGCGUCGGCCCGUCGGCGGACCGAGGAAGACCGUCGCGGAGCGGCGUCGACCGCCCGUCGUGUGGUCGCGUUCGACUCGGGGGGACUGGUUCCAGUGCCCUCGGACCGCGCGGCCGCAGCGGCGGGACGGCCCGGCGUCGCGCCUGGGGUCGGUGGCGAAACGGCCGGCAACCUGUCCGACCCGUCUUGAAACACGGACCAAGGAGUCUAACAUGUGCGCGAGUCGUUGGGCGCUACGAAACCCGAAGGCGCAAUGAAAGUGAAGGCCCGGUCUCCGGCCGGCCUGGGUGGGAUCCGGGCGGCCUCGGCCGUCCGGCGCACCACCGGCCCGUCUCGUUCGCCGCGUCGAAGAGGCGGAGCAAGAGCGUACACGUUGGGACCCGAAAGAUGGUGAACUAUGCCCGAGUAGGACGAAGCCAGAGGAAACUCUGGUGGAGGUCCGCAG